RNAcentral lists this ribosomal RNA (412 nucleotides) under uncultured bacterium. RNAcentral's name for it is "bacterial SSU rRNA". It matches the Rfam family "Bacterial small subunit ribosomal RNA", at positions 355 to 786 of the family's 1533-position model. The record is from RNAcentral.
UGGGGAAUAUGCACAAUGGCGAAAGCCUGAUGCAGCAACGCCGCGUGAAGGAAGACGGUUUUCGGAUUGUAAACUUCUGUUCUUAGUGAAGAAUAAUGACGGUAACUAAGGAGCAAGCCACGGCUAACUACGUGCCAGCAGCCGCGGUAAUACGUAGGUGGCAAGCGUUGUCCGGAAUUACUGGGUGUAAAGGGAGCGUAGGCGGGAAGCCAAGUCAGCUGUGAAAACUACGGGCUUAACCUGUAGACUGCAGUUGAAACUGGCUUUCUUGAGUGAAGUAGAGUUGGCGGAAUUCCGAGUGUAGCGGUGAAAUGCGUAGAUAUUCGGAGGAACACCGGUGGCGAAGGCGGCCAACUGGGCUUUAACUGACGCUGAGGCUCGAAAGUGUGGGGAGCAAACAGGAUUAGAUACC